RNAcentral lists this ribosomal RNA (253 nucleotides) under uncultured bacterium. RNAcentral describes it as "partial 16S ribosomal RNA". It matches the Rfam family "Bacterial small subunit ribosomal RNA", at positions 524 to 776 of the family's 1533-position model. The record is from RNAcentral.
UACGUAGGCAGCAAGCGUUGUUCGGAAUUACUGGGCGUAAAGGGUGCGUAGGCGGCUUUUUAAGUUUGGUGUGAAAUCUCCCGGCUCAACUGGGAGGGUGCGCCGAAUACUGAGAAGCUAGAGUGUGGGAGAGGAAAGUGGAAUUCCUGGUGUAGCGGUGAAAUGCGUAGAUAUCAGGAGGAACACCGGCGGUGUAGACGGCUUUCUGGACCGUAGCUGACGCUGAGACACGAAAGCGUGGGUAGCAAACAGG